Molecule: long non-coding RNA, 769 nt
Filed under: Androctonus crassicauda
Lineage: Eukaryota; Metazoa; Arthropoda; Arachnida; Scorpiones; Buthidae
Source: RNAcentral
UCAAGUGACCAUCUUCAGCCUUUAUUCUAAAAUAGAAGGUUAUUCUUUACAAACAUUCCAAAUCAUUAAAAAUAUACAGUUCAAUUCAAAAAUUAACAACAGAGAUAAUUAUAAUACAAAAAAUUAGUCAAAGAAAAAAGGAUUAAAAUAGAUUAUACAAGAACAUCUUUAAGAUGGCAAUUUUACUAAGAUUAACAUAAUAAAUAUUAAAAAGUCUUAAGAAAUAGCAUAUUCUGAGUUCCAUGUCUUCUUGGUGCGGUGCAUGUUCCCAGAUAUCUGAUAGAGUACAGAGAUGUAUAUGAAAAGGAACAAGAGAAAAGCCUCUUGCAAGGUUGUCAUGCCAUCUGGAGGCACCAAAUCCAUGAUUAGGGCAAGUCUUCUGGAAGAAUAUCAUUUAUUAUUUUGCAAGUUUUCUUCUCAUUUGUAUUUCAAAUGCCUCUGUGGUUCUCACAUCAGAAAUAUUAGAAACAGAUCUAACCAUUCUAGCCUUUUACCAUAAUAUCUAUAGAUCAUAUUCAUAAUAUGUAGAAAUGAGGACUGGUAAGUCUUUCUUGAUGUAUAUCAUCUUUAUGCUCCUUAAAUCUCUCUCUCAAAUUCUUAGCUGUCUUCACUGUAUAAUUUUCUGCACAGACAAGUUAUAAACCUUUUCUUUGCAAUUUUGUUUCUUGUGAGAAUAAAUAUUUUUCUGCUGAUGAGCCUGUAUAUUUUUAAUAACUUAAGUUUAAGCAGAAAGUGUUUUCUCUUUUUAACUACUAUUGAUAUAUUAACC